RNAcentral lists this non-coding RNA (85 nucleotides) under Bacillus sp. VMFN-A1. The record is from RNAcentral. Lineage: Bacteria; Bacillati; Bacillota; Bacilli; Caryophanales; Bacillaceae.
GAACGCCCAAUGCGGUGAAAGUCGCACGUUAGGUGUGGAGCAGGGGAAAAGAUGGCGAUUACAUCAAAGUCUUACCUAUUGCUAU